RNAcentral lists this long non-coding RNA (3470 nucleotides) under Brachypodium distachyon (stiff brome). RNAcentral's name for it is "long non-coding RNA (BDIS_LNC004088)". The record is from RNAcentral. Lineage: Eukaryota; Viridiplantae; Streptophyta; Magnoliopsida; Poales; Poaceae.
GCCGAUGCCUCAACUUCCAUUGCUCUGUUUGAGCUACUACCUCCUGCCUCGCCAUAGCUACAUCGCUUCUCUCCGGAGUAUCUUCUGCUGUGCUAUGCGUUGCGGAGGCGGCGGCCCGAAGCCGGUGCCGGUGCCGGCCCACCCUCGCUACGUCCCGAAGAGAGGGGCCGUGCUGAAGCGGGCCGUUCGCGCCGUGCUCCGCUUCUUUCUCUCCCCGAUGAGCCACGGGCCAGCGACGGCGAGCGCCGCCGCCGGCCAUGCGGCAAGUGACAGUGAUGGCGCGGCGGAGCAGGGCAACUAGGCUUUCGUCCAUCUAUCCAAUAGUAGUACGUUACACGGGCCAACCUUUUUUACCUGGGCCGUCCGCUAAUCAAGCUUCCGUAAGUCAGUUCCGUUGUCUUGGGCUCUUGGCUGCUUGUCCCUCCCUUUGUCGGUGCUGUGCAUAUGAUGCAUGUUUGCUUUUGAUAAUUUGGUGUUGUACGUGUUUAGUGAGCACUGAUGUGUUCCUCUGCUAUCUAAUACUGAUAUCAUUACAAGUUGCAAAGGAUAUUGCAGACAAUAGUUUCUGGCAUACAAAAUAGAGAAAAGCCACAGCCCACAGCCAACGAAUGUCACACUCAUGCUAACUCACAAGCCUUCGUGCCACUUGUAUUUUUAGCUAUUAAGAUUACAUUCGGUCGUUGAUGCUGCCACUAUAUAUUACUUCUAUGUUAGACCGGCAAACAACCUUAAAAAGGAAAAAAAAAUACAUGACAAUCAAUCUGAUGCAAACUUAACCCUCAGUCAAAUGUCCGCAGUGAUCUUCCUCAAAAAUACCUGCUGCAACCUGUGCUGCUUGUUUGCUGCAGCUAUCUCAGCCUUCCUGUUUAUCACAUUACAAUUGUUGAUCCGUUACUUUAUACUGUGUUUAUUUCAGCACACAAGUAGAGGUCAAUGCUAGAUGAGUAACUUGCGUAGGUUACCUCAUGAAAGCUGUGUUCCACCACAGAUGAGCUUCUGCCAGUGAAGCAAUCGCAACAUCUGCUUGAACUGACUACCCUUCGACUUUCUUGAACCUCUUUGGGAAAAGUUCGCGCCCUUGGAGAAGAACCUCUUGGUGCAUUUGUUCCCAUAUCGCUCCAAACUGGCUCUGAUAUUUCUCCUGGAUCCACGCCUGGAUCUCAGGAUAAAGAAAAUCUGGAUCAAUCUUCCAUGCCUCUCUUAACGCUGCCCGGCUGUCUAUUAAUUUUCGACCAAUCUUCAGCCUGCUAAGAAGAUCUCCGACUCUUCUUUGGCUGGGAGGCCCCAGGACAGCAGAUGGCGACAUAGCUAGGAGCUUCUGGACCACCCUUAGACAUGGCAAGACAUCCCCUUUCAGCAAAGCCCAUGCAAAUACCUGCAACCGGCUGGUUGCGUCUUUGAUGGGUAAACUGUGCAAUGGAAGCUGCCAAUUAUGCCGAGAAAAGAUGGGACUAACAUAACAGUAGACCUGGUCAUUUUGAGGCUCGUAAUAGGGUUUUGGGUCCUCCAAUGGUGCUGAGAAGGUGCAGAGAGAGCUAGCAUACUUCAAAAUCCACCCUGGCUUUACACUGGUCACACCAUGCAUGUAUGAUCGCUUUGUAUUAAGUAGUUCAGAGUAAACUACAAACUCUGGUGGAAUUUGCGCAACAGAAGAUGAUCGGUGGAGAUAUAUUGUAUCAUUGAGGGCGCAAGAUUGAUAGCGGGUAGCUCGAACCUUUCGAUCUUCUUUUGACAAUCCAGCAAAGGUCUGAAUCUUCUUUGCAACCCUGUCGGCCCACCCAGCACAUAUUCCUUGCCCUAAAAGUUCCUCCUCGUUCAGCAUUGGUUUUUUGUCGGAUUCCGUCCUCCAGGCCUGCUCAACAUCCUCAGAACCACCAAAAUUCCAAGCAAAUUCCUCACAAACUUUGCUAUGGUUAACAAUUAAUCGAAGAAGCUGCUUUCUCAAUUUCGACAUCUCUUCCAUUGUUUUGAGAUGAAGUGAGUGGACUCUGCAGAAUGCCGCUGGGUUUUCUGAUGACUCAAAUAAGCGCAAGGCAUGGGAAAUGGUUAAAGCAUCACUGCUACUGAUGGAAAAUCUUUCCCGCUCCUUUCGAACCACGGCUCUGAGCUUCUUCUGUAACUUCCUUUCAUCUCGAUCCUUGUGUUCUGGCUCAGGGUAGUCUUCUUUUGAUUCUCUACUAGCGUCGCCCCGAAUGAGCAAAGGAUUGGUAAAACUCAAAGCUGACGCAGCAGCAAUUGCAUAUCCCAAUAUGAAGUUAGAUCUGGCACAGCCUUGCCGACUCUUCAAAAUUUUAAUUAUUGUCAGAAGAAGACGAGAAUGUCGUGGGCUCAUGGGGUAUUGUGCCAUAGCCUUUCCCAUUGAUGUAAGUCUCCCCUGGCUGUCAAGUGCUUCCAAUGUAUUUAAGCAACGUUCAGCUUCAACCAAACUUUCCUUGUUAGGAGGUGUAGGGAACGGGAAGUUUGCAACCUGCAAUUAUCAUAUUUUGUAUGAAAAUUAGCACAAAAGGCAAUACAUCAGAAAAGAAGAUUAUUUAAAAGGUAACUAAAUAUUUAAGCACACCUUAUCGAUAGACAUAAACUUGAGCAUAAGCACAAUGCCCUCAACUGGCAUUUUCUUGAUCUCUGGCUCAGAGAAUUCAGGAAAUAAAUCAUCUUUACCGUAUGCUGCACCUGAGUAGAGACGGUAACAAUGCCCAGGGCCAGUUCUUCCAGCUCUCCCAGCGCGUUGGGAUGCUGAUGCCUUGCUUAUCCACUGGACUUCAUAACUUGCCAUCCCGGUAGCAUGAUCAUAGUUCUUAACCUUUUCUUUUCCAGUGUCGACUACAUAUUUUAUGCCAGGAAUUGUUAAAGAGGUUUCUGCAACAUUAGUUGCCACAACAACUAAUCUUUCCCCUUCAGGAAUAUCGCGAAAAACUCGAAGCUGCUGCGAAGCUGGUAGCAUUGCAUAAAGUGGUAAAACAUGAAGCCUAGCACGUGAAACAGAUGCAGGUUCUGUACAUUUACUUAAACAAGGAACAUAAGGAGUUGACUUUUCUGCAAUUGUAGCAUUGCUCGAUUCGUCAACACUUGCUGGUUCUCCUGACAUUCCUGAUAUCGCUUUAAAUGAUGCCUUCAAUACAGAUGAACACUCAGCACCUUUAAGAAAGGAUAAUACCGGUCCAUCCUCUUCCGUGGUUUCAUGUGCGGCAGAAUCCUCAUCAUCACUGUCAGUAUCCAUCUCACUCUCUGUUUCUCCGUCAGAAGAAUCGACAUUCAGCCCAGCAUUGGUCUCGUCUUCACCAUACGAAAAAAACAUGUCGUCUUGGUGCUCAGGUUCAUUUCUAUCAAUAUCAUAUGCCUCAAAAAUCUCCUUAUCCUCUAUUUCUGGUCUUGAAUCAUUCUUAUUACCAACCCUUUCAGGUUUCCUAUCAGUUAGCCGCUUGGAUGCUCUUUGCAGUUUCUUACAUAAAUCGUCCACUUCUCGUUGUCCA